This 240-nucleotide unclassified non-coding RNA is filed under the name soil metagenome. RNAcentral's name for it is "partial contains 5.8S ribosomal RNA, internal transcribed spacer 2, and large subunit ribosomal RNA". The record is from RNAcentral.
AACAUCGCGCACCUGCGGGAACCUGCGGAAGGAUCAUUAAUGAUUGGUGGCUGUUGCUGACUAGUGUUUCUAGUAUGUGCACGCCACACCUUCAAUCCCACUUACACCUGCGCACCUUCUGUAAUAGAUCUAUGUGGAUACGGAGAUAUGAAAGUUUGCGCUCUCGUACUCUGUUGAAGCAGUCUACUACGUUUUUUUACACACACACAAUAGUCAUUGAAUGUAUUUUUUAUUCUUAUG